This 200-nucleotide ribosomal RNA is filed under the name uncultured bacterium. RNAcentral describes it as "partial 16S ribosomal RNA". It matches the Rfam family "Bacterial small subunit ribosomal RNA", at positions 524 to 723 of the family's 1533-position model. The record is from RNAcentral.
UACGAAGGGGACUAGCGUUAUUCGGAAUUACUGGGCGUAAAGCGCACGUAGGCGGCUUUGUAAGUAAGAGGUGAAAGCCCAGAGCUCAACUCUGGAAUUGCCUUUUAGACUGCAUCGCUUGAAUCAUGGAGAGGUCAGUGGAAUUCCGAGUGUAGAGGUGAAAUUCGUAGAUAUUCGGAAGAACACCAGUGGCGAAGGCG